This 253-nucleotide ribosomal RNA is filed under the name uncultured bacterium. RNAcentral describes it as "partial 16S ribosomal RNA". It matches the Rfam family "Bacterial small subunit ribosomal RNA", at positions 524 to 776 of the family's 1533-position model. The record is from RNAcentral.
UACGGAGGGGGCAAGCGUUGUCCGGACUUACUGGGCGUAAAGGGUGCGUAGGCGGUUGCAUGCGUCGGCGCUGAAAUCCGUGGGCUCAACCCACGGGCGCGUGCCGAUACGAUGCGACUCAAGGCUCGGAGAGGGUGGUAGAACUCCUGGUGUAGUGGUGAAAUGCGUAGAGAUCAGGAAGAAUACCCGUGGCGCAAGCGACCACCUGGCCGAGACCUGACGCUAAGGCACGAAAGCGUGGGGAGCGAACCGG